UACGGGGGGGGCAAGCGUUGUUCGGAAUUACUGGGCGUAAAGGGCGCGUAGGCGGUCCUUCAAGUCAGGCGUGAAAGCCCCGGGCUCAACCUGGGAACCGCGCUUGAGACUGGCGGACUCGAGUUCGGGAGAGGAUGGUGGAAUUCCCAGUGUAGAGGUGAAAUUCGUAGAUAUUGGGAAGAACACCGAUGGCGAAGGCAGCCAUCUGGAUCGACACUGACGCUGAGGCGCGAAAGCCAGGGGAGCAAACGGG
Molecule: ribosomal RNA, 253 nt
Filed under: uncultured bacterium
Lineage: Bacteria
Description: partial 16S ribosomal RNA
Rfam family: Bacterial small subunit ribosomal RNA
Source: RNAcentral